GCCUUCGUGGUGUAACGGUAUCACACUCGGUGCGUAUUCGAGAGAUCCAGGUUCGAGUCCCGGCGAGUCCA
RNAcentral lists this transfer RNA (71 nucleotides) under Stegodyphus mimosarum. It matches the Rfam family "tRNA". From Rfam's summary of the family: Transfer RNA (tRNA) molecules are approximately 80 nucleotides in length. Their secondary structure includes four short double-helical elements and three loops (D, anti-codon, and T loops). Lineage: Eukaryota; Metazoa; Arthropoda; Arachnida; Araneae; Eresidae. The record is from Rfam by way of RNAcentral.